UAGACACACACAAAAAUAAUACAAGCUUCUUAUUACAAGCCAAGGGCCUCGAGGGCUAGAAUACAGAAGCUCGAUAAACACACGAGUCAGCGGAAGCAACAAAAUCUGAGUACAGACAUAAAACAUGGGUGCCUUAGAGAAGGCUAGCACAAAAGAAACACGAUCGAACGAGGCGAGGCCUCCUGCCUGGGAACCUCCUAACUACUUCUAUCUUCAGCGGCCUCCACAAAGAAGACACCAACAGGGCGACAGGCGUCGGCAGGAAACUCCAUCUCCUGGGCUCCAUCAUCUGGUCGCAGCAACGGAUCAAGGGAACAAAAGAGGAGCAAAGCAACGGUGAGUACUCAUCCAAAGUACUCGCAAGUAUGCAUCAGUAUCAAAGAAGGGGGUGUUAUAUGUGGACUGACUGCAGCUAAGCAAGAAUAGAGAGAAGGCCUAGUCCUAUCGAAGACUAGCAUCUUCAGGGUCUUGCAGUAAAAGACGAGAGUAGAACAGGUGUAACACAAAAUAAUAGUCAUAUUGUUGCAGCAAUAUUAAAGUGAGGUCAUGCCCAGAGAUCCUCCCUCGACUCCCUGCAAGGAAGCAAUCCCGAGGCAACUAAAUCCAGUUAAGUAACAAUUGUAGUUGUAUAAGAUCUGGGCACAACUCCAAGUCGUCCUGUAACCGUGGACACGGCUAUCCGAAUAGUUAAUUUUCAUCCCUGCAGGGGUGCACCACAUGUCCCGACGCGCUCGAUAACACUCUGGCCGGACACACUUUUCUGGGUCCUGCACGGCCUUGGAAUAUCGACACGUCGCAGCCCCACAUAAGACUAAUCAGAGAGGUUAGCCCGCCGGUCUAAAUCCUAAGCGCAAAGGGUUCAUGGGCCCAGUUCCCCUCCGCGCUCCUGCACGAUGCGAAGGCGGCCGAUGUCAGUCCUAGCAUCCCUUAAUCACAAGCGCAAUGCAUCUCGGGACCACUCGGGCGCGCGCCACUACGAUUGCUGACAUCUGAAAGCUUCGGCUGAUACCGCGACGCCAAGUACCCAUAAUUCUUCCUACGCAGACGGUUAGUGCGGAAAGGUCUCCCACCAACCCAGGUCAAAUACCCAAAACCAUUAACAUUUUAAUUAGGCCAUCAACACAGUCUCGCGGGAAUCCACCCGUCUUACAUCUAAUCACCAAUGAUCCCAGUAACAUGGUCGAGUAACUGUGUGGUUAUAACAUCGGGGGAAUCCGAGGUAUCACCCUCGUUAGAUUCCGAACGAUGUAGCCGUCAAGGUGGGCUUAGAGGAAUCACCCUCUAGGGUCCCACACAUGAGGGGUUGCACGACCGAGGCAUCGUCGGGAAUGGUGAAAGAGGAAUCACCCUCGAUAACCACGACCGACUAACUAUACUACAGUGAUAUCAUCAGGAGUACUUAGCGAGGUGUCACCCUCGGUACUCGAUAGUAUCUCUGUAGCGUCGUACAACUAAGGGGGGUGUAUGUGUUGUGUCGGGUCUGGCUCGUCGAUCAGGGAUCGAGAUUUGAAAGCAAGCGGGGCAACUGGACUACGGGGUCAGAGGGGAUGACUGCUCCACCUAUACUAAGCAGAUUAAAGGUACAUGACUGAAAGUAGCAGUUUAUCAAAAACAAGUCAUGCAUCAGAUAUAGGAGCUAACUACAACAGUAGCAAAAUACUAAUGCAAGCAGUAGAAAGAAAGACAUAGGCGAUAUAGGAAUGAUCAAGGAGGGGGUUGCUUGCCUUGUUGCUCCGCAGACAAAACGGUUCCUCGACCGGGAAGUAGUCGAUCACCGGAUCAUCAUCGGUCUCGGGGGUCUACCGAAAAGGAAGUAAUGGAGGGGAAACACAAUAAAUAACACAUCAAUUAAAUGCAACACAAAUGCAAUGGCACGGCGGGAUGUGUGGGUGACAUGCUCUAAUGCAUCCUUACGCAUUUUAAAAGAAGAGGGAAAAUAUCCGGCAAUAUUUUCCCGACUCCAGGUAUUUUUCGGACAAACGACCCUGAUGCAAAAUGUUCAUGUGCAUCAUGAUAGGGGCAUGUGACAGCUAUGUGGAUCGCACAUUUGGAUUUGUUAGAUUUUUCUGAACAUUUUUAACAUAUAAAUUGUUUCCAUUUGAGUUUGUAUGAAUAUGUUAUGAUUUUCUGAAGUUUAUUCGAUUUUUAAAAAUUGUUUAAAACGAGUUUGACCAAGUCAACUAGACUAGUCAAAUGGGGUGGGUGUGGCCCACAUGUCAUAGGACAGCAACUAAACUAUGUUAGUUAAAUAAAUUAAUUAAUUUAGAGACCACUUGACAUAGGCUAGUAGUUAAACUAACUAGUAACUAGUACUCCCUCCGUUCCUAAAUAUAAGUCUUUUUAGAGGUCUCACUAUAGGACUACAUACGGAUGUAUUUAGAUAUACUUUAGAGUAUAGUUUCACUCAUUUUGCUUUGUAUGUAGUCUCUUAGUGAAAUCUCUUAAAAGACUUAUAUUUAGGAACGGAGGGAGUACGUACUAACUAACCCACUAAUCUAUAGGGCCGGCCACACACUCUCUCACACACACACAACACACACUCACGCACACACAAAAGACACUCACGCUCAUACACACAAGACCAUAGCCAUGGCCUUAGUAGCAGUUGAAGCAGCAAGUACUAACAGCGCCAAGCAAGCAGGAGCAACACCUAGUGACAGCAACUAGGAGCGGCAGCAGUGAGCGGUUCCUACAGGGAGCAGCAGUGGCAGGCAGCAAUGCAGUAACCGCAGCAGCAGCAAGCAGCAACAGCGACAGAAGUAGCAGUAAGCAGAGCAGUAGCUAGCGGAAGCAAGCAAGCAGCAAAACAACAGUGAGCAGCAGCACUAGCUAGCAAGAGCAGGGGCGUGGCCGACGAACGCGAGAGCGCCCGGGCGCAGCUGAACACACGCGCGGGCGCGACGAGCGUCAGGUAUGUUGGAAACAAGGCACGCACCCACACCCACGUCCUACCGCGCAUGCAUGCAGGGCGACUCCUUCCAGCCCACAACCUGCUCGCCCACGUAGCCAGCUCGCUCCCGCGUCUCGCUCGGAUCGCUAGCAUGCAGGAGGCUUAUCCUCCCGUUAGUUACAACAACCACUGGCUCUUGCCGUGUAUAUAAACGCAUGUACUGAACUCAAGUGAAUAUAGUGUGAGUUCAUCAAUCUAUCUNNNNNNNNNNNNNNNNNNNNNNNNNNNNNNNNNNNNNNNNNNNNNNNNNNNNNNNNNNNNNNNNNNNNNNNNNNNNNNNNNNNNNNNNNNNNNNNNNNNNNNNNNNNNNNNNNNNAGUUCAUCAAUCUAUCUUGGUAUCAGUUUUGUUCGAUCCUCUCCUCCUUCCGCCAUGAGCAUAUGCCGCCCUCUCCGCCGGACUCGCUCCUUCGGGGACGCCGACGUCGUCUACCUUCUGCCGGAAGUCGCCCCCACCCCANNNNNNNNNNNNNNNNNNNNNNNNNNNNNNNNNNNNNNNNNNNNNNNNNNNNNNNNNNNNNNNNNNNNNNNNNNNNNNNNNNNNNNNNNNNNNNNNNNNNNNNNNNNNNNNNNNNNNNNNNNNNNNCCCACCCCGCCCCUCCGGCGCCCGUCGCCGCGGCGCCCCUCUCCCCCAACGCCCGCGCCCUGCGGCACGCCGUUCCUCCUCCCCUCCGUGCCUUUCGGCCCCCGGCUGACCUUCAGCUGGCGCUCGCACCACCACCAGUACCUCCCGCCCAUGCUCCUCUCAUGCACCACGCCAACAUCGCAUCCUACAUCCUGUUCAAGCUGUCCAUCGACUCCGGCACGUACUCGAAGUGGCGCCAGCUCUUCUGGUACGUCCUCUGCAAGUACCGGGUCGAGGACCAUGUCCUGGAGGAGGUCGACCCCCUUCAUGCCGACCCCACCUGGCGCAACGACGACAUCACGAUCAUCCUCUGGGUGUACGGGACGAUCUCCGACGAGCUCUACGACACCAUCCACUCGCCGGACAGCACCGCCUUCCGCCUCUCGGAGCAGCUCGAGAUCUUCUUCCGCGACAACGCUGCCGGCCGCGCCGUCCACAUCGGCGCCGACUUUCGCGCCACGGUGCAAGGCGACAUGCCCAUCACCCAGUACUGUCGGCGUCUCCAACAGCUCGCCUCCGCCAUGGCUGACAUCGGCGAACCCGUCUCGGACCGCUCUCUCACGCUGCAGCUCAUUCGCAGUGUGAGUCGCCGCUUCCACGUCAUGGCCACCCUCCUCCCGAUGCAGCAACCGUUCCCCUCCUUCCUCCAAGCGCGCUCCCGCCUCCUCCUCGAGGAGAUCUCCAUCACCGAGCGCGAACGAGCCACUGGCGCUACGGCCCUUGCCCUCAGCCAUGGUGGUUCCUCCUUCGGCGGCGGCGGCCCUUCCGGUGAUCGCGCCCCGCCCUCUUCGCCCGCGGACAAGGGCAAGUCACCGGCUACCGGCGGUCCCUCGUCGGAUCGUCAACGCGGCGGGCGUGGCUGUGGCCGUGGUCGUGGCCGCGGCCACCCAGGCUCCUCCUCCAACGGCGGGCAUGCUCCGCAGGGCCAGACGCCCUGGAUGGGGUACUUCACCCCCUUCGGUGCUCCUCCUCCCACCCCACAGCAGUGGCGCGCCACUUGGACACCGCCCAACGCCGACGGUGUACUCGGCCCCUGUCCCGGCGCGCCGCACCAGGCCUACCCCGCCAUCGGUCCUUCCUCUUCCGCCCCAUAGUGGGACCCGGCUGCCCUCGCCCAGAUGCAGCAGCAGUUCGCCCACAUGAUGCCGCCGGCUCCCCCAUCCGGCUCCGAGUGGUUCAUGGACACCGGCGCCACCUCCCACGUCGCCGGCACCUCAGGUAACCUCGACCGUGUCUCCAACGCACCAGUCUUUCCCUCUAGCAUCACGGUUGGCGAUGGUUUUGUGAUCCCUGUCGUUGCCAGCGGUUCUGCCACCCUCCACCCCUUCCAUCUUAAUGCUAUUCUCAUCUCCCCCCACAUUAUCCAAAACCUAAUUUCCGUUCGUCGUUUUACUCGUGAUAAUUGGUGUAUCGUGGCUUUUGACCCUUUCGGCUUCUCUGUGAAGAACUUGGCAAUGGGGAAGCUUCUCAUGAGGUCCAGUAGCACCGGCAAUCUUUAUCCGUUCCUUCCCAAAUAAAGGCGGCUCGCGGGCGCUCUCCGUUUCAAGCACCGGCGACUUGUGGCACCUCCGCCUUGGCCACCUUAGUCGUGUUUCCCUUUCUAUUUUAGCUAAGAAUUUUUCUCGAUUCAUGUAAUAACGGCCACAGCUCCACUGUCUGUGCAUCUUGUAAAAUUGGCAAGCAACCACGAUUACCAUUCCCCACCUCUUCCUCUCGCACCUCUGCUCCCUUUCAGCUCAUCCAUUGCGACUUGUGGACCUCCCCCGUAUGUAGCUUCUCGGGUUCCAAUACUACCUCAUUGUGCUCGACGAUUACACACACUACUUCUGGGCUUUCCCCCUACGCCACAAGAGUGACACCGCCGCUACUCUCCAACGCUUCUUCUCUUACGCUCUCACCCAAUACAACCUCCCCAUUAAAUGUGUGCAAUGCGACAAUGGCGGCGAGUUCCUCACUCACACUCUCCGUGAUCACCUCUCCCGUCUCGGUGCAUCCUUCCGCCUCUCCUGUCCUCACACCUCCCCCCCAAAACGGCAAGGCUGAACGCCUUCUCCGCACCACCAACGACGUCCUUCGCACCCUACUCAUCCACGCCCACAUGCCACCCGAGUACUGGGUCGAAGCCCUCCAUACUGCCAACCACUUAAUCAACCGCCGUCCCUCCUCUGCCGUCGACCAGAACACACCCUACUUCCUCCUUCACGGCCGCCACCCCACCUAUGACCACUUACGUGUGUUUGGCUGCCUCUGCUACCCCAACCUCACCCAUCUCGCCCCGCACAAACUCGCGCCGCGCUCCACUCCGUGCGUCCUCUUGGGCUACCCCCUCGAGCACAAGGGCUACCGCUGCCUAGAUCUACGUUCUCGCCAUGUUUACAUCUCUCGCCAUGUCGUUUUCGACGAGCAGCAGUUUCCCUUUGCCGCCCUCGCCACACCGAUGCCCGCAGCACCCUUAGCCACACCUGAUCCCCCGCCAACUCUGGCGCAUCCGUACGUCGCACCUACCUCGUACACCCACACACCUCGCGCUUUCGCCCGCACUCCCACAAUUACCGCCUCGCUUCCCGCGCCUCGGCAACUCCCUGCGGUCUCCGCUGCACCAGGCCCACCACCUGCCCAAACUCCCACGCCAUCUUCCUCGUCGCCCGCGCCUCGGCCACCCACCACCGACCGCGCUGCCCCACAGCGGCCCCCACCCACUCCUCCCGACCCGGUGACCCCUCCCCNNNNNNNNNNNNNNNNNNNNNNNNNNNNNNNNNNNNNNNNNNNNNNNNNNNNNNNNNNNNNNNNNNNNNNNNNNNNNNNNNNNNNNNNNNNNNNNNNNNNNNNNNNNCGGUGACCCCUCCCCCGCCGCCACCUGUCCCAAACGCUUCAUCUACCACCUCUCUCCCGCUGUCUACCCCCAUCUCCGCCGCUAACGCCAACCCACCGCCACCAGCACCUGCUGCGGCCCCCUCUCGCGCCGUCUCGCCAGCUCACCGCCCGCUGCCCGCCCGCGCCAUUCCCGUCCAACACCCCACCAACACGCACACCAUGCGCACCCGUGCCAAAUCGGGGUUCUCCCUGCCCAAGCAAUACGCCCAUCUCACUGCGUCUUCCACCAUCGGCCCUAUACCUUCCUCCUAUCGCGCCGCGCUCAAGGAUCCAAACUGGGCCGCUGCCAUGCUUGAGGAAUAUACUGCUCUGUUGCCGAAUGACACUUGGUCGCUGGUUGCUCGUCCUGCAGGUGCUAAUGUGGUGACCGGCAAGUGGAUAUUUCGCCACAAAUUCAACCCUGACAGCACACUGGCUCGCUACAAGGCGCGUUGGGUGUUGCGCGGCUUUACCCAACAGGCCGGCGUCGACUACGACGAGACGUUCAGCCCCGUCGUCAAGCCCGCCACGAUCCGCGUUGUCCUCGCCCUCGCCACCGGCAGCUCCUGGCCGGUCCACCAGCUCGACGUCAAGAACGCCUUCCUCCAUGGGCACCUUGCGGAGACUGUCUACAACUCACAACACACCGGCUUCGUCGACACCACACGGUCGCGGGACGUGUGUCGUCUUCACCGAUCCCUCUACGGCCUCAAGCAGGCGCCGAGGGCGUGGUUUGCGCGCUUCACCACCUACCUCUUCACCCUCGGCUUCCGCGCGUCCAAGGCAGAUUCCUCCCUAUUCUACCUCCACCGCGGCUCCGACGCGGCGUACCUCCUCCUCUACGUCGACGACAUAAUCCUCACCGCCAGCUCGUCGUCGUUCCUCCAAGCCAUCAUCGUGUCCCUCGCCCGUGAGUUCUCCAUGACUGACAUGGGCUCGCUCCACCACUUCCUCGGCAUCAAUGUCCACCACACCACCACCGGCCUCCACCUCUCUCAGGAACAAUACGCUCUUGAGAUCCUCGACCGCGCGGGCAUGCUCAAUUGCAAACCCGUCUCCACGCCGAUCGACACCACCUCCAAGCUGUCAGCCACUGACGGCCCCGCUUUCCACGAUCCUUCUCUCUACCGGAGUCUCGCCGGCGCCCUUCAGUAUCUCACGCUAACACGGCCGGAUCUCUCUUAUGUCAUGCAGCAGUGCUGCCUCUUCAUGCAUGACCCCCGGGACACUCACUACCAGCUGGUCAAGCGGAUCCUUCGGUACGUCCGCGAAACGACGCAUCUCGGACUGCACUUCUUCCGCUCCCCCAGCACCGACCUCAUUGCCUACUCCGACGCCGACUGGGCGGGAUGCCCCGACACCCGCAAGUCCACGUCGGGCUUCGCUGUGUACCUCGGCUCCAACCUCGUCAGCUGGUCGUCGAAGCGCCAGACCACGGUUUCUCGCUCGAGUGCGGAGGCCGAGUACAGGGGCAUCGCCAACGCCGUCGCUGAGGCCACCUGACUGCGUCAGCUCCUCGCCGAGCUUCGCCGCCCACCUGCCCGCGCCACCAUCGUCUACUGCGACAACGCCUCCGCCAUGUACAUGUCCAGCAAUCCGGUACAGCACCAGCGGACGAAGCACAUCGAGAUCGACCUCCACUUCGUCCGCGAGCGCGUCUCUCUCGGUGAAGUGCGCGUCUUGCACGUCCCGACCACCUCGCAGUUCGCCGACAUCUUCACCAAAGGGCUACCCACGAGCGUGUUCGUCGACUUUCGUUCCAGCCUCAACAUCGGCGAGCACCUUGCUUCGGGGGGGGGGGGGGGGUUUGGAAACAAGGCACACACCCACACCCACGUCCUACCGCGCAUGCAUGCAGGGCGACUCCUUCCAGCCCACGACCCGCUCGCCCACGUAGCCAGCUCGCUCCCGCGUCUCGCUCGGAUCGCUAGCAUGCAGGAGGCUUAUCGUCGCGGUAGUUACAACAACCACGGGCUCUUGCCGUGUAUAUAAACGCAUGUACUGAACUCAAGUGAAUAUAGUGUGAGUUCAUCAAUCUAUCUAGGUAGUGGCGGCCAUGGCAACAAGGAGCAGCAGCCACACACAUACGUACGCGUACAUCCGGGGACAACUGCAAAUGGCGACGAAUCGAGCCGAUAAACGAGGGGAAUCGGGUGAGAAACUCACCACGGAGCUAGUGGACAUAGUUAGGGAGUGCGGGGCGGCCGGAAAGCGACGGGCUCAUCGGCGAGAUGUGGCGGCCGGACGAAGAAGAAGACGACGGCGUCGGUUACACAGCUCCCUGGCUUGAGCUAGUGCCCGGGACGGACGAAGCCAUCCGCGACGGAACUCGUGGACGUGCUCUAGCAUGCCGGAGUGGCCAUUGGACGCGUCAACGAGGACGAGGCAGCGGUGACCACGAAUUUUCCGAGCUUGAAUUCGGGCUAGAGAGGAAGGGGAACGAAGGGGAUCGAGGGGGGAA
Molecule: long non-coding RNA, 8886 nt
Filed under: Hordeum vulgare
Lineage: Eukaryota; Viridiplantae; Streptophyta; Magnoliopsida; Poales; Poaceae
Description: long non-coding RNA (HVUL_LNC018368)
Source: RNAcentral